This is a long non-coding RNA of Panicum virgatum (switchgrass), 809 nucleotides long. RefSeq lists it as uncharacterized. Lineage: Eukaryota; Viridiplantae; Streptophyta; Magnoliopsida; Poales; Poaceae. The record is from RefSeq and is a predicted model, not a curated record. The transcript has 4 exons.
AUAGCAAUCAGCAAGUCCCAGGUCACGAGCAUGGUGUCUAGUAGCAAUCGUGUAUCCGCGUGAGUGCCCAAGGCGAGAGGUAUCUUUGGCCUCCCAAAAGCGAGCGGCACCACACGGUUACAGCCACGUGACUGCCUCAGGAGCCUCCAGAUCUAGCGCCGCCGGCCCCCUCCUCUCCAUCUCCGGCGUUCUUCGCCGGUGACCGGAAGGAGAGGAGCCACCCGAUUAGUUCCUUGCUCCAGUCGCUAGCAGCGCCAUUGUCAUUCUUGUCGCCGUCAUCUUCGUCAUAAUCGGUGUUGGCGACUAACAAGUAAAGUUUAGUUGAUUUUCUUGAUCAGCUCUGGUGUCACCAGAUGGGCAGAUGCUAUCUCUUGCAUUCCGUUUCUUAAGGGCGAAACUCUAGAGGAAAGAGCACUCGUGGACUUGGAAACCCAUUAUACGAAGGAUUACCUUGAGGAGACUGUCAGAUGAUACAUGUUUGGUUCAGGCAAGAACAGCUUUCUUUGAGGGCAGGAAUCAUGCUGAUUCUAUAGUUUCAGACAUAUACGACACACACACACACAAGUUUGAUCCCUUCUACCUUUUCAUCUCUGAUGAUAUGACUUAUGUUGACCUCCUUUCAAUAUCCAUUUACAUUUGUGGGAAGUAUGUUGCUCACAGCCAAAAUUGGUAGGGUCAGCGGCCGACCGGUCUGCCCAGUUGUAAUCCGAGUAGAGUUAGUUUUAUUUAUAAAAUCCUUGUAUAAACCGACUUGAAAGGGUACGACUUCCCCGGCCUAUAUAUAUAAAGGCUAAGGCCGAUUGAGUGUA